GGGACUUUGUGGUGUUGUGGUAAAAGCCUUGUCUCUCAAGUGAGAGGUUGCUGGUUCGAAUCUGGCUUGUCCCC
Molecule: non-coding RNA, 74 nt
Organism: Pangasianodon gigas (Mekong giant catfish)
Lineage: Eukaryota; Metazoa; Chordata; Actinopteri; Siluriformes; Pangasiidae
Source: the annotation of a GenBank genome assembly